Chroicocephalus ridibundus (black-headed gull) is the source of this 2852-nucleotide long non-coding RNA. RefSeq lists it as uncharacterized. The record is from RefSeq and is a predicted model, not a curated record. The transcript is spliced from 4 exons. Lineage: Eukaryota; Metazoa; Chordata; Aves; Charadriiformes; Laridae.
UGGGGAAUAGGCCCUUCAAAGCAAAGACUAGAUUGUCCCAGACAGAGGUGAACGGUGGUGUAAGGGCUGAAAAGGGGGUCGAUCCUGACUUAAAUACCAGCCACCACCCGCAUGGAGAUGACUUUUUCCUCCUGCUCCUCACCAGUCACACCAUGGCCAACAUUGGCGUAGAUCGUCCCCGGACAGUGGAAACGCAGCUGUGGGCUGGCACGUCCCCAGCUCUGCGCCUACUGGGGAGGAAAGGGGACCUUCAGGCAAACAAACCUCACCAGGUCUCCAGGACACAUGAUGAAGCUGUGGACCUCUUCACUGCAGGAACCCAUGCAGAGCCAUAGGACCACCCCCGGCUGGAACCAGUUGUGUGGCAGACACAGUGGAGGUGAGGAAAAGAUGUGAAGAACCUUGUAAAGGACAAAUGAAGAGUUGCAGAAGUAGGCACCUUCCGACACUGUCUCCUAAACACAGAGGGAUCCUCUAAGGCUCGUCCUCUUCUGGGAUUGUCACCCUGCUCCUGGGAGAGGAGUUCAGCCUCGGUUCAUCUGGAGUCCAGGCGCAGGGUUGCAGGAGGAGAAGGGACGUGAUGCGUUGGCUGAACUCUCUGGAGAAGUUAGCGAAUGUCCUCACGUCGCCAAGCUGCGAGGAGCCGUGGGCACCAUAAAAGAUAACAACGAAUUUUAUCUGAUGCAUCCACGAUCUGGAAAGAGAUUAUUUUUCGUGAUGCUGAGCUGACUUUUCUGACCAUCUCGAUGCAGACUUGGAGUCAUGUGUGGGGUCCCAGGAGGGAAAAGGAGGGGUGAUUCAUGUUGCAGCUAUCAGUGUUUCACACAUCUGCCAGCGUGGUGUGCCCCAGCUGAGAACUUCAAUUCACCUCGUGCAAGAUGAAAUGGCAGCUGCGUUGGAUUGAUGAAACAAUAAUAAUCACAAUGAAAUAAUAGGAUUAAUGCCAGCAAUUGCUGUUUAACCAAAAGGUCAUUUUGACAGAUGUAACUUUUAUCAGGAAGCAUCAAAAUAUCAGAUUUGUUUUUGAUUUUUUGAGGAGAGGGCACUAAGAAGACAAAGUGGGGAUGAUGAACAUGCCAGGAGUUUGGGCUCUGGCAUUUGGCUGAAAGCAGCUCCCGGUCUGCAAACGGCAGGUCCUCAGCUCCAGGGACAUCGUGGCCACAGCUCCACUGUGACCAGCUCCAGGCUCUGCCCUUUGGCUGAACUCCUGUCUUUUUAUUUUUAACUCAUCUCCUGAAACUGUGGGCAGGUUUCUGCUUUCUGCACCAGAAAACACCUCCUGCCUUGUCUUUAAAACUUGAUGCACCACCACUUUGGUUCCCACUUGCUCUUGGUGGCCUGUCUGGUCCCCACGUGCAGCCUCAGCUCUCCAGGGACUGCACCAGUUAUGCCAACACCAUCUGCUCUGCCUUUCCUCCCUGGACCGGCCUAGUGCCCAUCCUAAGGAUGAUGAGGCUAAACUACAUACACAUGAAAAAGAUGGUUGUGUAGCUCCGCUCCUUGCCCAGGGCUGUGUCAGAAGGUGAAAAGCUGAUUGGGAAGACUGAGUCUUUAAUUGUGUGUCUCCCUUCCGCCAGUGGCUUUGCUGGAUCUCCACCUCUCUGCUUUCCCACCGGAGCCUGUCCUUGACCUCCACUGCAACCCUGGAUUUGCCCAGCGGGUCUCACGUCCCUCCUGGAGGAGGGACUCUGCUUCGUCCCGCUGCCAGAGGAUUCCAUCUGGGCUCUCCAUCCUUCCUCGCUGCCCCACAGGCUGUGCUUUUUCCCUUCUCUGAAGGUCAGAGUGGUGUCCUAGAACCUGCCAUGACGUGCGUCCUCACUGCCGUGGGUACCGUGUCCAGGGACGUCACCGCCGGCUUCCCCACAUCACAACACCUUGCACCCAGACACACUCCAUCGGCCUCAGGCUCCGCAUUUCGGAAGCUCCCAGGGUCUCCCAGCAUGCCGGGGACAGAGCUGGGAGGCUCCCCCCUCCUGCCCGCUCAAGCUGCCGCUGCGGGUGGUUUCUAACUUUCUGGGUGUGCACCUGCAAGCAGAGCCCAGUUAAAACCAGUGCACCCCAGUUCAGCAUGGGGAGCAGCGGGGUGGCUUUAUUUUUUACUUUGCAAGCGAGAGGCGCUUUCCAGCGCGAUCCCGAAGUGGGUCUCCUCUCGGCUUUGCUGACUGAAGUGCGGGACCGUGCUAUUUGCAGCCGAGAAGCUGCUCUCCCACCGCUCCCGGCUCAAAUGCAAACAGGAGCCAUGGGAGGCCAGCCCGUCUCUAACGGCGCACAUCAAUCUGAAGGGAAGAGACAAAAUCCCCAAAUCUCAAAAUAAUGAAAACAAAGAUAUCCGAGUAAUAAAAUCUGCAAGGAGCACAAAGACAGCACAACUCAGAUCUCAGCUGGCUCAAAGAAAGCGUCCAUUAACAAGGGAUUAGCGGGAGGGAAGUACACAACCAGUCCAUAGGAAGUGAAAACACACCGCACGGUCGCCUGAUAUCACAGCCCAGCGUUAGGAUGAAGGCUGUGUUGGGCAGGUUAGAAUAAGAGCUAUUCCAGAAAUCUAUAAAAAAAAAAAAUAGAAAAAAAAAGCACUGCAAAAGCUGCCUUUGCUGUGGCACCUGCUUUGUAAGAAACCUUGAAGACUUGUAGUUUUCAGUCAAAGAGAAAACAUCGUGUCCUUUUGCUGUGCCCGCUCCCGUGCACCCCUCCCGUACUGCACUUCACCAUUACAUCCCGGAAAUAGAGGUUUGGUUUUUUUCUUGUCUUGGGGGUUGUGUAUCUCCUCCCACAGCCAGGUCGGGUUUGGACUUGGACCUUUCGGAUGCCCUGGUAACGCGAACGGGAAUAAAAAAGGAGUGAGCUUGAUUAUG